CCCGGGUGUCCCAGGCGCUGCGCUGGGGCUGGACGAGAGAUAUGAAGACACGGUGUGCUGGGCCACAAGCUCCUGGUGCACACGGGGGGAAGGACCAGUAGACACAUGAGAGCAGACGGGACAAGUUCACUGGUAAGGGGCAGCACAGGGCGUGGCUCUCAGCCUGGAGAUCGUCCUGGGCACAGGGCCAGGUGUGAGCAGUCCAGGGGAGGCGCGCAUGGGGAGACAUCCCGGGCAGGGUCAGACGAUCCUUCGCCACCCUCUUUCACGGUCAAGUGAAACGUUCCCUUAGGCAGCAGCCUUCAUCUACCCUUGGGGCCCACUGAGGUUGCACCACUCUUCGGUUCCCUGCAGGAGGGAGUGCAAACAAAAGUAUAGGUUGGAGGAAAGACAGAGGAGGGCCGUCCUUAGGGUCCCCACACCCCUCGGGGGAAGCUGAUAGCAGUGCCUUUCCGCCUCAGUGUCGUUGGGAUCCUCUGGGUCCCCUGGUGGGGGAGCACCCCCAUGGGCACAGUGGGGAACAGUAGGUACAGAAGGGACAAUAUGUUUUUACCCAAUGGUUUUGGUACCUGUGACACAUCCCCUCAGCCCCCCUAUGGUUUCAGCUGUGGCUCUGGUGGUAAGUUCAGUAAGUUCAUGUCUGAAGCUGGGAGCCCACCCAGCUCUCCCACAAGCACACCCUGGAAGUGUGGGAAGGUCACGCCCAGGAGCCACCGUCAAGGGGAGAAUGAGAGCCAGUAGACAAAAAGCUCAUCCUUUGGACAGAACGUUCUGGAAGGAAUUCUGUACACUUGCCGGAGGUUCUAGAAUUGAGACCCUGUUGCCCAGCAACCUUGAUAAUACACAUAGGGUGACUUUUCGUCCUUCCUGGGCUUGCUCACUUCCUUUCCCUUUACCCCUGCGUCCUGGGAUCUCCUCCCAAACGAACGAGUCCUGUCUCAGGCUCUGCUUCUGGGGGAACCCAAGCUAAGAGAGAAGUGCUAUUAACAACUGGAGGAUCUGAAUGCCAAUCUCUUACCUUUCAGAAUUGUCACUUACACCUAAACCAGAGAGGAGGAGAGUCCCAACACUGGCUUUGAAACGCCUCUGACCCACAGGAAAUGGCUGUUUUCAAGGUGGGCUGUGAACAGGGCUUAUUGAUAUAGAAAGCUCAGAGGACCUGGUGUGGGGAUUGGUCGGGGGACUCAAUUUAGCACGUGGCAAGAAAUUCUGGUUUCACCCAGGGGAAAGCUGCUGGAUAUUGUUUCCUCAGUCAUAAUGGCCACAUGUUUUAAAACCCCACAGUUCUAGAAGGAUGAAUGGCUGGGAAAAGAUUGGGAUAGGGAGGUUGUAUGUGAACCUAAAAACUCUUAUAAAUAUUUUUACGUUCAUAAAAGCCCAUUAAGAAAACAACAGUGAAAUUUAAACCUCAAAGAAUUGGAAAUCAAAGUUAACAGACGAUUACUUUUCCUCGUCUUUAAUCUCAAGAUAUUGGACUGAGGUAAUGAUGGAGUGAUGUAUGGAGGAGAAAGAUUUGGGGACGAGGCAUUCUUAAGAUUCCUUUUAUCCUCUGAAUUACUUUUGAUCUUCAUAUACGCUAUGGAAAUUCUUUCUGUUGUAGAAAGUAAAUACAUCGCAGAUGGAGUCAGACUCAUGUAUUUGGCGAGGUGUGGUAACUCCCAUCCAAAUAUUUCUUUUAAUUUUACUCCGCUCAUCAAAGGGCCAGCUCACAUGGAAAGUGUGCUUGGUGUGCCGGAGACCAGGUUACAUUUCUAGGUUAUUCACGUGUUUCACGAGACACUUAACAACACAAUAGCCCUGAAGGUACAUGACAGCGUUUAGUUUUAUAGACAGGAGAGCUGAGGCUCUGUUAUGCAUGCAGUAUGAUCAGACCUGGUUUUAAAACUUUGAAAGGUUUUUCAUGUGGAUAUAUUCAUGCAUGGUGGGGGGGGGGGAAGGGGCGGGGACUUGCCAGGCCAUGUGACUUGCCUUUGGGUUAAAAUCAUGAUCAUCUAAAAAUAUUGGAAUACAUGCUGUUAAAAAGCCCACUUCCAACAAUUUUGCAUUGGAGAAGGCCGUAUUUGUCUCAGGGAGAAAACACUUCUUUAAGGAAAUGCUCCGAUGGCUCACUGGUCAUGAACAAGCUCCCUGGCUCUUGUCAAGACAACAAGAGAAAUUACUCGGCUUGGAUCGCUUAAUAUUAAGAGAUUUAAAAUGUUUCCCCAGUGAGCUCAAGUCAGAAGUUAGAGAGUGCCAGCGGUUAAGAUACGCCCAAGGCAGGGAUGGUCAGUUUUCAACUGUGUGUUUUGUUUUUGUCUUUUUGUCUUGUGCAGUCCUUCCCCUUUGUUGCUCUCAAACCUUCAGUGGAUCCCAUCACCCACGGAGCACUGCAUUAGCAGUGUCUUCGGAAACUAGAGGGGAAAAAGCAGAUACGUCAGCGUCUGGGCAAAGCCAUGCCAAGGAAACACAAUAGUCAGCAGGAGCAGGGAGCGGACGGUCAGAAGGCAGUAAGACAAAGCUGGCAACAGUUGAGAUUGAGAGGUGACGUCCGUAAUUCUCCACCUGUAGAAUUAUUCAGGAAGCCGCUGGAUCUCGUACAGAGGGAGUCUGGAUGAGGUUUCGGUUUUCCUUGUUUGUUUGUUUUCUCCUGGAGAUUGUAAGAAACCGAGACUUAGUCAGGCCACAAAGAUUACAAAGAGAGUGUGAGCCAGUUGACUCAAACCCCUAAAAAAGAUAUGGUGAUUUCGUGGUGACUUCUUGGGCUCACUCCUCUUCCCAGUCACCUGAGAGCCCGUUAAUUCGGGGCCAUUUUUUAACAUUUAUUUAUUUUUGAGAGAGAGAGAGAGACAGAGUGUGAGCAGGGGAGGGGCAGAGGGACAGA
This 2860-nucleotide long non-coding RNA is filed under the name Lynx pardinus (Iberian lynx). The record is from RNAcentral. Lineage: Eukaryota; Metazoa; Chordata; Mammalia; Carnivora; Felidae.